RNAcentral lists this ribosomal RNA (255 nucleotides) under uncultured bacterium. Its description in RNAcentral is "partial 16S ribosomal RNA". It matches the Rfam family "Bacterial small subunit ribosomal RNA", at positions 524 to 776 of the family's 1533-position model. The record is from RNAcentral.
UACGGAGGGUGCAAGCGUUAUCCGGAUUCACUGGGUUUAAAGGGUGCGUAGGCGGGCAGGUAAGUCAGUGGUGAAAUCCCCGAGCUUAACUCGGGAACUGCCAUUGAUACUAUCUGUCUUGAAUAUUGUGGAGGUAAGCGGAAUAUGUCAUGUAGCGGUGAAAUGCUUAGAGAUGACAUAGAACACCCAUUGCGAAGGCAGCUUACUACGCCUAUAUUGACGCUGAGGCACGAAAAGCGUGGGGGAUCAAACAGG